GUAAUAAUGAGAGCCAGGUGUGUGUAAUGAUGAGUGCCAGGUGUGUGUAAUGAUGAGUGCCAGGUGGGUGUAUUAAUGAGAGCCAGGUGUGUGUAAUGAUGAGUGCCAGGUGUACGUAAUGAUGAGUGCCAGGUGUGCGUAAUAAUGAGAGCCAGGUGUGCGUAAUAAUGAGUGCCAGGUGGGUGUAAUGAUGAGUGCCAGGUGGGUGUAAUGAUGAGUGCCAGGUGUGUGUAAUGAUGAGUGCCAGGUGUGUGUAAUGAUGGGUGCCAGGUGUGUGUAAUGAUGAGUGCCAGGUGUGUGUAAUGAUGGGUGCCAGGUGGGUGUAAUGAUGAGUGCCAGGUGUGUGUAAUGAUGAGUGCCAGGUGGGUGCAAUGAUGAGUGCAAGGUGUGUGUAAUGAUGAGUGCCAGGUGUGUGUAAUGAUGGGUGCCAGGUGUGUGUAAUGAUGAGUGCCAGGUGUGUGUAAUGAUGAGUGCCAGGUGGGUGUAAUGAUGAGUGCCAGGUGUGUGUAAUGAUGAGUGCCAGG
This is a long non-coding RNA of Oncorhynchus tshawytscha (Chinook salmon), 524 nucleotides long. The record is from Ensembl. Lineage: Eukaryota; Metazoa; Chordata; Actinopteri; Salmoniformes; Salmonidae.